RNAcentral lists this ribosomal RNA (253 nucleotides) under uncultured bacterium. RNAcentral's name for it is "partial 16S ribosomal RNA". It matches the Rfam family "Bacterial small subunit ribosomal RNA", at positions 524 to 776 of the family's 1533-position model. The record is from RNAcentral.
UACAGAGGUCUCAAGCGUUGUUCGGAUUCAUUGGGCGUAAAGGGUGUGUAGGUGGCGCCGUAAGUCGGGUGUGAAAUUUCGGAGCUUAACUCCGAAACUGCAUUCGAUACUGCGGUGCUUGAGGACUGGAGAGGAGACUGGAAUUCAUGGUGUAGCAGUGAAAUGCGUAGAGAUCAUGAGGAAGACCAGUGGCGAAGGCGGGUCUCUGGACAGUUCCUGACGCUGAGGCACGAAGGCCAGGGGAGCAAACGGG